UUCUUGAGUGUGUACUUGUUAAGCCUUUUAAGAAAAAAGUUAUUAACUUAAGGAAUUAUAACAAAGAAGCAACACGUAAAUGGAUUUUCCAUUUUUUAGUGUGUAUCAAUCGAGUUUCUGACCUAUCAGCUUUUGAUGUUAGGGUAUUGGCCUAACAUGGCUAUGACGGGUAACGGGGAAUUAGAGUUCGAUUCCGGAGAGGGAGCCUGAGAAAUAGCUACCACAUCUAAGGAAGGCAGCAGGCGCGUAAAUUACCCAAUUCUAAAGAAGAGAGGUAGUGACAAGAAAUAACAAUACAAGGCCAAUCUGGCCUUGUAAUUGGAAUGAUGGGAAUUUAAAACCUUCCCAAAACUCAAUUGGAGGGCAAGUCUGGUGCCAGCAGCCGCGGUAAUUCCAGCUCCAAUAGCGUAUAUUAAAAUUGUUGCAGUUAAAACGCUCGUAGUUGAAUUUCAAAGAAUCGAUAUUUUAAGUAACGCUUUGUAGAUUAAUCCACAUAACUGAUACUACGUAUCGACUUUGUGCGCAUUUUUUUACUUAUGUGUUCUUUUAAUUAAAAUGAUUCUUUUUAAGAUCUUUCUUUUUUGCUUCGGCAUUUUAGGAGAUCUUGUUACUUUGAGUAAAUUAGAGUGUUCAAAGCAAACAGAUUAUAGCAUCUUUAUGCGUUUGAAUACUACAGCAUGGAAUAACAAAAUUGAACAAGUCAGAAUUUUGUUCUUUUUUCUUAUUUUGGCUUAGUUACGAUUAAUAGGAGUAGCUUGGGGGCAUUUGUAUUCAGAUGUCAGAGGUGAAAUUCUUAGAUUUUCUGGAGACAAACAACUGCGAAAGCAUUUGCCUAAAAUACUUCCAUUAAUCAAGAACGAAAGUUAAGGGAGUGAAGACGAUCAGAUACCGUCGUAAUCUUAACCAUAAACUAUGCCGACUAGGC
This 925-nucleotide ribosomal RNA is filed under the name Plasmodium inui. Its description in RNAcentral is "SSU rRNA". It matches the Rfam family "Eukaryotic small subunit ribosomal RNA", at positions 174 to 1051 of the family's 1831-position model. The record is from RNAcentral. Lineage: Eukaryota; Apicomplexa; Aconoidasida; Haemosporida; Plasmodiidae.